Molecule: ribosomal RNA, 244 nt
Filed under: uncultured bacterium
Lineage: Bacteria
Description: partial small subunit ribosomal RNA
Rfam family: Bacterial small subunit ribosomal RNA
Source: RNAcentral
AGAAUCAACGCUGGCGGCGUGCCUAACACAUGCAAGUCGAACGAGAAAGUGGAGCAAUCCAUGAGUAAAGUGGCGCACGGGUGAGUAACACGUGACUAACCUACCUUUUAGUGGGGGAUAACCUAGGGAACCUGGGCUAAUACCGCAUAAUACCUACGGGUCAAAGCAGCAAUGCGCUGAAAGAGGGGGUCGCGGUCGAUUAGUUAGUUGGCAGGGUAAUGGCCUACCAAGACUGUGAUCGAUA